AGUAGGGAUGGCCCUAAGUCAAUGACUGGUGUCCUUAUAACAGACGAGAGGACAUGCUGAGUCACAGAGACACAGGGAAGAAGGCCAUGGAUCAGACGGAAGAUUGAACUGGUGCAUCUGCAAACCAAGGAACACUGAAGACUGCCAGGAGACCACAGGAAGGUAGGAAGAGGCACGGCAGGACUCCCCGACAAGUGCAGGAGGGAGUGUGGCCCUGCUGGCACCUCCAUUUCAGACUGCUGGCCACCAGAGCCACAAGACAAUCAAUUUCUCUUGUUUCAAGUCAUCCAGCUUUUGGUAAUUGGUUGUGGCAGCCCUAGGGAAUGAAUACAAGUACUUUCUGUUUUUUUCUUUUUUUGAGAUGCAGUCU
Molecule: long non-coding RNA, 370 nt
Organism: Nomascus leucogenys (northern white-cheeked gibbon)
Lineage: Eukaryota; Metazoa; Chordata; Mammalia; Primates; Hylobatidae
Exons: 2
Source: RefSeq, a predicted model, not a curated record